AUUCAGAAAGACACUGCAAAGCAGAGCAAAGCCUCUUUUCUGCCUUCCACAGCUCAGAGAAAAAUACCUAGGGUAUCUCAGCCUCCUGAAUAUACCCCUGCAGUCACAGUGUUCAGCUGCUUGGUGUAGGAAUCCCUGCUCUGAGAACUCCCCCAGGCCAUCAUCUAACAAGAGGCACCAGCGCUGGAUGGGAUGCCAUGUGCCAUUUCCUAGCAGCAGUGCCAGUCCCAGCCCCUCCACCUGCCUACCUGCAGUGCCAAGGGCACCGAAACAACUGCUUCUCAACCAGCUGGAAGUUCAUGGAAAUGUUCUGUUCUCUCUCAGAAAUGAUUGAAAAGAGUGUGGUAUAGAGUUGUUAAAUAAUGACCUUCCUGAAGAUUAAUAAGGAGCAGUUGCAACAUUUCAUAAG
RNAcentral lists this long non-coding RNA (409 nucleotides) under Cyanoderma ruficeps (rufous-capped babbler). RNAcentral describes it as "lncRNA (ENSCRFG00000003562.1)". The record is from RNAcentral. Lineage: Eukaryota; Metazoa; Chordata; Aves; Passeriformes; Timaliidae.